UACAGAGGUCCCAAGCGUUGUUCGGAUUCACUGGGCGUAAAGGGCGCGUAGGCGGCGCGACAAGUCACUUGUGAAAUCUCCGGGCUUAACCCGGAGCGGCCAAGUGAUACUGUAGUGCUAGAGUGCGGAAGGGGCUACUGGAAUUCUCGGUGUAGCGGUGGAAUGCGCAGAUAUCAGGAGGAACACCGAUAGCGAAGGCAGCUCGCUGGGACGGUACUGACGCUGAGGCGCGAAAGCGUGGGGAGCGAACAGG
This 253-nucleotide ribosomal RNA is filed under the name uncultured bacterium. RNAcentral's name for it is "partial 16S ribosomal RNA". It matches the Rfam family "Bacterial small subunit ribosomal RNA", at positions 524 to 776 of the family's 1533-position model. The record is from RNAcentral.